UUGUGCCUGUUGAGUUACGUCCUCGUCUCAAACACACCUCAGGGGUCCUGGGACCUUCGAUGGGAUGUGACAGGAGCCUGGUAUUUGAUGGUGUUUAUAAAAUCAUAAAUAUUAUUGCUACAUUGAUCAUAUUCUACACCAUCUUUUUAAGAUGAUGACUGUCUGCUGUUACAUUAAACUUGUUUAUGGCACUUGAAUGGAGUUUGCAGCAACUCCAAUUACAAUAUUUUUCACGUGCUGCGGUUUAGUCCUAUUCAUGCUAAAUAUCCCAUCAGAUGCCGUUUAAUCAUAAAAAUUUUAAAUAAUUCUUGGGAGUAUUGUGUGUCCAAGAGAGAUAAUAAAUUGGAUUAUCUCUUUUCACACAGUCCUCCACAGAUUGUGGUCUCCAUCUCACCCAGCAUCACCAUUAUCAGGUCGUACAUGUUCUUUGUGUUUAGCUGCAGUUAAUCAACCACGUCACUGUGUCAUUAGCCACAGAUAUAUUUAACCAAAUAUUAUGAAUUUGACGUGUAAGAUGGUUGUUUGUUUAAUUAUAUAGUUAUUCACUUAUUGUUCUUAUCCUUGUACUUGAAGUACUUUGUCUUUUUAAUUUGUUUUCUCAUGCACCAAAACACCAAAGCAAAUUCCUUAAAUGUGAAAACCUGCUUGGAAAUUAACACAAUUCCAAUUCUGAUUUAUCAAAAUAGUACAUAUUCAGCUCUGAAUCCCAGUCAGCCUCUGAUGUAUUAACUUCCAUAAUGGAUUAGUUCUUAUCAUAGAUUUCCCCUUAUUUGUAAGUGUGGGGUUUACAUCCUAAUAUGGUAAAACAGUAAAACACUUCAGCUUGAGUUUAAAGCAUCAUAGUAAGCAUGUGUUUUCACUUCCUGUGUAUUGUUGACUCAGCGCUGACAAUGAGUUAUGUUGUGCAUAAAAACCUGACGUCUGUCGUCAUGUGCAUGAACAGCAAACAACACUGCAUCUAUGAGCCGUGAUGGCAGGGAUAAGGGCAAAUUAAUGAGAUAGUCGGCGCAAUUUCAUUUUGUUUCUUGCAUGAGGCAGAAUGCAGCUCCACGUGUAUUAGAUUUCAGUCCGGUCAGGCUUCCCCCUCCCGUGAGACUGGACCGUCUAUCUGAUUCACUCUCUUGAUAGGGUGGUGCCACUGCCUGCAAUCUACAGUGCUGCGUAAUACCAGACAUGCUGAAAAACACAACCUGUCUGCAAGGCAACAGAUUUGCGAAUUGGUCUGGUCACCCAGUUUUCAUAAGAACUAACAUCUGCAGGUGAAAAGUCUAAUUCCAAUGAAAGUUGUUUGCAGUGACGUCUGUAGAUUAUUUUGCGUAACGAUGGCACUAAUUCUGGAAGAAGUUGGUGUAGAUUCUCAUCCUUUCAAUGGUGUGAACAUCACAAACAAUUCACCUCCAUUAUUUUGCAGACAAGGCAAAAUGUCUGGCAUUGGAAGAAAUAUUCAGAUUUUGAGUGAAAGUCUGAACAAUAAUCCCCCCAAAAUACCCCCCAAAAUAACCCCCAAACCCCUCUCCUUUACAGGAAACUGAAAAUAUGCAGCAGAAUGGCCCCUGUAAAUAUUUAUUAUGACUUAUUAUAUCAUAAGAUUAUUCAUAUCAAUGCAUCAACAUGAAAGCAGCAUUUUAAUGUAGCAAACUGCUUUAUAAACUUUUUGGUAGUUUCAUUUAAACGUAAUCAUUACUUGUACCUUCUGUUAACCUCAGGUUACACAGGUUGCAAUAUAACUAAUCAGUUGUUGACUACCUCCUUUGACUUAUUACUGCUGUAACAAGUGGAUUUCCCCAUCGUGGGAUCAUUGAAGUUGAUCAUAUCUGAUCUUAAGUUUAUGCAUGGCCCUUUGUUUUGUUUUGUAUUUGUAAUUUGGCUGAAGCAAUCCUCUAGUGAGAGACACAGUGGCUGAGCGAAGGAGGAUUCUGGGAAGAAAAUCCAUGAGAUGAAAAAUAGGAGAGGCCUACACAGUAAUUACGUGGUUUUUUUAUGCUUAAAAUGUAAAAAAAAAUAAAAUGUUUUUUAUGGGACUAUGAGUGUGGUCAUUCCUUCGUGCCAGCUGUGACCAUGCACUUCAAAAAUAAUGUCUGUAUCCUGUAGGAUUGAAUGAAAACGACGGCUGUCUGCUUCUGGUGCAGUACCUAUGACAACCUCUGGGUGGGGGUCUCCCCUAAAAGAUCUCAGGAGCCUGGGUAUCCCCCAAACCCUUAAGCAGAGAGAAUCCAGGAGGUUAUUAUACAGAGGGCGAGUUAUUAUACAGUGAGGAGUAAUUUUACCCCACGGAGCGGACUCUCAAAUUAUACCAGAUCUCACAUCCUGCGAAAAUAAAGGUCAAAUUCAAACGACACCAACUGUGAUACAACAUCAACACCGAGAGGAGGGAGGGAAAAAAAGAAAGAAACAGUCCGGGAACCCCUGAUCCAGACCCUAUCCAGAUGGUGAUAACAGUCACUGGCCGCGGCCUGUAAUCUCCUUAUUUUUUACACUUUUGAGUAAUACAGUCCUCAUCCCUCUGGUGUGAAAUCCCCCUGCAGAGAAGUGGCGUCGACAGAAGCGGGGACGAAUAAUCUGCAUCAUCCUCAUCAUCCACAGAGUGGUUCUUCAUUCAUAAUUCACAGUCCACCCAUUACAUCUGAUGAGAGCCACUGACCUGAAAAUACGGGGGCGAAUGAGCUCCUUCAAGUAUGGCCGCUCACAUUGUCUGCGUCCGUCCUGUACAUGUUGCCAGCAAACAUCAAUAAAU
Long non-coding RNA from Scophthalmus maximus (turbot), 2734 nucleotides. RefSeq lists it as uncharacterized. The record is from RefSeq and is a predicted model, not a curated record. The transcript has 3 exons. Lineage: Eukaryota; Metazoa; Chordata; Actinopteri; Pleuronectiformes; Scophthalmidae.